Molecule: long non-coding RNA, 701 nt
Filed under: Prunus persica (peach)
Lineage: Eukaryota; Viridiplantae; Streptophyta; Magnoliopsida; Rosales; Rosaceae
Description: long non-coding RNA (PPER_LNC006899)
Source: RNAcentral
AAAGGCCCUCUGAUAUCUAAGUUAGUUUAAUUGGACCUUGAAAAAGAUACAACAAUAGUUAAAGUGGAUGGAGUUUUGUACCAUGGGGAGAGUCAGGUGCCCUUAUCCGUGUGGUGAGAGAGAGAGAGAGAGAGAGAGAGAGAGAGAGAGAGAGAGAGAGAGAGAGUGAGUGAGUGAGUGAGUGAGUGAUUUCUCUAGGAUUUUUGGAAUUACCUUGAAUGCCUUGUGUAGUCAUGUAUUUAUAGGCUCCUUGUAUGCUAGGGUUUUGGGAGAAUAAUAUUUAUUUGGUUAGGAUUAUUCUUUUCUAAAAAGAUGAUAGGAAUUAGUCUUAGAGAUUUGGUAGACAUUGGUUCUUUGAUUUAGGAUGAUAUUCCUAUCUUAAAUCAAAGAUAAUUUCCCUAAUUAAAAAGGAUUUCUUUUCCACGUGUCAUCUUCUUAUUGGCCAGCGAAAUAUGUGUUCCCACACCCACAUCACCAUAAUUAACCAUAAGCCUAAACAAAGCCCACAAACCCAUCAUAACUGAAACCCUAAAACAACUCAUGAGCCUAAAUGAACCCUACCACCACAACUUGAAAAAGCGUCAUCUCGGCCACACCCACUAACAAAUAUGAAGAAAAUAUGAUUUCAACGAUCUACCUGUGCAUAGUAGCGAACAAAUAAACGAAAACAACCCUGUCAAAUAACAAUUGGGUAAUUUGCA